RNAcentral lists this ribosomal RNA (253 nucleotides) under uncultured bacterium. RNAcentral's name for it is "partial 16S ribosomal RNA". It matches the Rfam family "Bacterial small subunit ribosomal RNA", at positions 524 to 776 of the family's 1533-position model. The record is from RNAcentral.
UACAGAGGGGGCGAGCGUUGUUCGGAAUUACUGGGCGUAAAGGGCGCGUAGGCGGCCAACUAAGUCAGACGUGAAAUCCCUCGGCUCAAUCGGGGAACUGCGUCUGAUACUGGAUGGCUUGAAUUCGGGAGAGGGAUGCGGAAUUCCAGGUGUAGCGGUGAAAUGCGUAGAUAUCUGGAGGAACACCGGUGGCGAAGGCGGCAUCCUGGACCGAGAUUGACGCUGAUGCGCGGAAGCCAGGGGAGCAAACGGG